CUGAGGCCGACAGGCGUAGGCGAUGGAUAACAGGUUGAUAUUCCUGUACCACCUAUAAUCGUUUUAAUCGAUGGGGGGACGCAGUAGGAUAGGCGAAGCGUGCGAUUGGAUUGCACGUCUAAGCAGUAAGGCUGAGUAUUAGGCAAAUCCGGUACUCGUUAAGGCUGAGCUGUGAUGGGGAGAAGACAUUGUGUCUUCGAGUCGUUGAUUUCACACUGCCGAGAAAAGCCUCUAGAUAGAAAAUAGGUGCCCGUACCGCAAACCGACACAGGUAGUCAAGAUGAGAAUUCUAAGGUGAGCGAGCGAACUCUCGUUAAGGAACUCGGCAAAAUGACCCCGUAACUUCGGGAGAAGGGGUGCUCUUUAGGGUUAACGCCCAGAAGAGCCGCAGUGAAUAGGCCCAAGCGACUGUUUAUCAAAAACACAGGUCUCUGCUAAACCGUAAGGUGAUGUAUAGGGGCUGACGCCUGCCCGGUGCUGGAAGGUUAAGAGGAGUGGUUAGCUUCUGCGAAGCUACGAAUCGAAGCCCCAGUAAACGGCGGCCGUAACUAUAACGGUCCUAAGGUAGCGAAAUUCCUUGUCGGGUAAGUUCCGACCCGCACGAAAGGCGUAACGAUUUGGGCACUGUCUCAACGAGAGACUCGGUGAAAUCAUAGUACCUGUGAAGAUGCAGGUUACCCGCGACAGGACGGAAAGACCCCGUGGAGCUUUACUGUAGCCUGAUAUUGAAAUUCGGCACAGCUUGUACAGGAUAGGUAGGAGCCUUUGAAACGUGAGCGCUAGCUUACGUGGAGGCGCUGGUGGGAUACUACCCUAGCUGUGUUGGCUUUCUAACCCGCACCACUUAUCGUGGUGGGAGACAGUGUCAGGCGGGCAGUUUGACUGGGGCGGUCGCCUCCUAAAAGGUAACGGAGGCGCUCAAAGGUUCCCUCAGAAUGGUUGGAAAUCAUUCAUAGAGUGUAAAGGCAUAAGGGAGCUUGACUGCGAGACCUACAAGUCGAGCAGGGUCGAAAGACGGACUUAGUGAUCCGGUGGUUCCGCAUGGAAGGGCCAUCGCUCAACGGAUAAAAGCUACCCCGGGGAUAACAGGCUUAUCUCCCCCAAGAGUUCACAUCGACGGGGAGGUUUGGCACCUCGAUGUCGGCUCAUCGCAUCCUGGGGCUGUAGUCGGUCCCAAGGGUUGGGCUGUUCGCCCAUUAAAGCGGUACGCGAGCUGGGUUCAGAACGUCGUGAGACAGUUCGGUCCCUAUCCGUCGUGGGCGUAGGAAAUUUGAGAGGAGCUGUCCUUAGUACGAGAGGACCGGGAUGGACAUACCUCUGGUGUACCAGUUGUCGUGCCAACGGCAUAGCUGGGUAGCUAUGUGUGGACGGGAUAAGUGCUGAAAGCAUCUAAGCAUGAAGCCCCCCUCAAGAUGAGAUUUCCCAACUUCGGUUAUAAGAUCCCUCAAAGAUGAUGAGGUUAAUAGGUUCGAGGUGGAAGCAUGGUGACAUGUGGAGCUGACGAAUACUAAUCGAUCGAAGACUUAAUCAAAA
RNAcentral lists this ribosomal RNA (1533 nucleotides) under Staphylococcus aureus. RNAcentral's name for it is "partial 23S ribosomal RNA". It matches the Rfam family "Bacterial large subunit ribosomal RNA", at positions 1396 to 2925 of the family's 2925-position model. Lineage: Bacteria; Bacillati; Bacillota; Bacilli; Caryophanales; Staphylococcaceae. The record is from RNAcentral.